RNAcentral lists this small RNA (2394 nucleotides) under Pongo abelii (Sumatran orangutan). RNAcentral's name for it is "retained intron". The record is from RNAcentral. Lineage: Eukaryota; Metazoa; Chordata; Mammalia; Primates; Hominidae.
GGACGAGAUGCCUCCCUCAAGCCUGGGCGCCCCCAUGGCCCUGCUGGCUGCCCUGAGCUGCUCCAAGGUUGAGCUAAACCCCAGAAGCACACGGCCAUUUGGGGACCUGGGGCCCACCCUGGGCCUUCCUGGGAGGAGACAGAGAGUAGGAGGCUGUGUGCCUGGGUUCUGGGGCCCUGUCCUCUUCCUGUCCCUGCCCCUUGCCUCCUCCUCACAUUCCUCUUCUCCAAACCAUAUAACGGGGGAAGCUUCGCCCUCAGAAGCCGACAGGGAGACCUCUUUGGUGAGGGACCCCGGGGCUGGAGACCCCGAGGCCGGCCUCCGCGGGCUGGUUGAGGAGGGAGGCUGUUAGCCUGGGAGCUUGGCCCACGCUGGGGGGCUCUGUCUGACCCAGGGCCACCUCCCCCAAAGCCAGGACGGCAGAGUGGGCACUGAGGUUGGAGGAGGAAGCCAGGUCAGGGCCGGUGGAAGAGGCUGAGGACCUCCCGGGGUUCCCUGUGUCCAGCCAGAGGCUUGGGGACUGGCCAGGCCCCCACCUGCCAGGGCUCCCACAGUGGCCCCCCAUGCCCUGGCCCGGGUGCCCAGAACAGUGCUGCAUCCCCAGGAAGGGACCUGGGCUCAGUGGAAUUAAAUUAAGUCCUGGCCUGUCUGACCAGUGGCUUUGCAUCCCCAGAGCGAUGAAUGACAUCGGCGACUACGUGGGCUCCAACCUGGAGAUCUCCUGGCUCCCCAACCUGGACGGGCUGAUAGCCGGCUACGCCCGCAACUUCCGGCCUGGCAUUGGAGGCCCCCCCGUGAAUGUGGCCCUCGCCCUGGAGGUGGCCAGCAUCGACCACAUCUCAGAGGCCAACAUGGAGUACACCAUGACGGUGUUCCUGCACCAGAGCUGGCGGGACAGCAGGCUCUCCUACAACCACACCAACGAGACCCUGGGCCUGGACAGCCGCUUCGUGGACAAGCUCUGGCUGCCCGACACCUUCAUCGUGAACGCCAAGUCGGCCUGGUUCCACGAUGUGACGGUGGAGAACAAGCUCAUCCGGCUGCAGCCCGACGGCGUGAUCCUGUACAGCAUCCGAAUCACCUCCACUGUGGCCUGCGACAUGGACCUGGCCAAAUACCCCAUGGACGAGCAGGAGUGCAUGCUGGACCUGGAGAGCUACGGUUACUCAUCAGAGGACAUCGUCUACUACUGGUCGGAGAGCCAGGAGCACAUCCAUGGGCUGGACAAGCUGCAGCUGGCGCAGUUCACCAUCACCAGCUACCGCUUCACCACGGAGCUGAUGAACUUCAAGUCCGCCGGCCAGUUCCCACGGCUCAGCCUGCACUUCCAGCUGCGGAGGAACCGCGGCGUGUACAUCAUCCAGUCCUACAUGCCCUCUGUCCUGCUGGUCGCCAUGUCCUGGGUCUCCUUCUGGAUCAGCCAGGCGGCGGUGCCCGCCAGGGUGUCUCUAGGCAUCACCACGGUGCUGACGAUGACCACGCUCAUGGUCAGUGCCCGCUCCUCCCUGCCGCGGGCGUCAGCCAUCAAGGCACUGGACGUCUACUUCUGGAUCUGCUAUGUCUUCGUGUUUGCCGCCCUGGUGGAGUACGCCUUUGCGCAUUUCAACGCCGACUACAGGAAGAAGCAGAAAGCCAAGGUCAAGGUCUCCAGGCCGAGGGCAGAGAUGGACGUGAGGAAUGCCAUUGUCCUCUUCUCCCUCUCUGCUGCCGGCGUCACGCAGGAGCUGGCCAUCUCCCGCCGGCAGCGCCGCGUCCCGGGGAACCUGAUGGGCUCCUACAGGUCGGUGGGGGUGGAGACAGGGGAGACGAAGAAGGAGGGGGCAGCCCGCUCGGGAGGCCAGGGGGGCAUCCGUGCCCGGCUCAGGCCCAUCGACGCAGACACCAUUGACAUUUACGCCCGCGCUGUGUUCCCUGCGGCGUUCGCCGCCGUCAAUGUCAUCUACUGGGCGGCGUACGCCAUGUGAGCGCAGGACUCAGACCACCCUCGCUUGUCCUGGCGCCCGGCGGCGGCUGCCCAGAAACUUCCUGGGAGAAAGAGCCCUUGGGCCGCCUUCCCCUCUGCGUGUUUCAAAGUGGGAUGACAGUCGGCCACAGAAAACAAGAGGAAGCCUCGGCCUCCCUGAGCUCUGACCCCAGCCUCACCCGCAAGGCCAGCCUGGGGCUCUCCGGCAGGCGGCGCGAGACUCACACAGAUGAAGGAGCAGAGGGUCUGCCUGAGAGGCUGAGCCAGGCCGGGGUCUGGGCCCUUCAGAGAGCCGCGGAUUUUUAGGUUCAGAAAGUGAUCCUGGUUUCUAGGUCUUUGCUCUGCGGGAUCGGGAUCGGAGCAUGGGAGGAUGCGGGAGUGGACGUCCAUCCGGUAAACAGUGAAGGCGUUUGUGAGGUCUUUCUGGUCCC